This is a non-coding RNA of Paramisgurnus dabryanus, 594 nucleotides long. The record is from RefSeq and is a predicted model, not a curated record. Lineage: Eukaryota; Metazoa; Chordata; Actinopteri; Cypriniformes; Cobitidae.
GAUAAUUGAUGCGCAUGCGUAUUUGACUUCGAGUCUGAAGUGGCGCGGACAGAGGAAAGGAAGGGAGACUUCAGGACGGCUACUUUGAAUUUUACCACGAUAUUUCACCCACUAUUCAAGCUAAUGCAAGAUAAAAAAUGAUUUCAGAAGAAUCACCACAAUUUCCUUGGAGCGUACAUUCUUGUAAAAGCUGGACUUCUAUACCCCAAAACUCCUGGCUUUGUUUGAGAUGAGGGGUGGGGUUGCUGGCAUAAGAAUUAAAGAUUUGCUGGAUUCACUGAGCUAGCAAGAAGAUAGCCUUGAAGAUAGGUGAGACGUUGUGAUUCGCUGCCUCCUAUCUUUCCUGGGAGAAUCAGCUAAGGAGCUCAUUGAAGACCACCAGGAUAUCAGCAGAGACAUGAUUAAGGAUACCUUAUUCAGUCAUGUCAUGAAAAUCAUCGUACUCGGCAGGUCUGUGGAAGAAGAUGCCAGUAUGUCUGAUGUCAUCAUUGUCAUUGAGGGAACUGAGGUGCUGCUGGGAUGUAAGAAUCUCACAAAUGCAUGUCUUUCACUCACAGGCUGCAUUUACUCCCUAAACUUAAGCUGUCCCCCAAA